GUCACACCGAAUGGUUGCUCACAACAGGGACUGGAUUUACUUCAAGUAGCUAAAGAAAACCCUAUACAUGAAAAUGGUUGUUUUGGCUAACUUACAAGAACUCCAACGAGCUAACAAACUCAAGAACAUGGAUUUUCAACGAGGUACGAUUCCACUAUGGCUAAAGUGCAGCACCGGACUAAUAAUCAACGCAACGGGCAGAGCGGGUCUUACGCUUGGUGCCACAUUGGAGCACUGCUCGUGUCACAGCGUUGAAUGUCGCAGCCGCAGUGAAACAGUUGCCGUGUGUGCGGCAAACAUAUAACCAGGGUGGGGUAAGAAGCGAUGUACAUCAGUCUUAGAGGUCCUUGGCAACACUAACGUGAAAGCGGAAGGCAUCUACCUGAGCGGGUCGUACGACGUGGAGGGAGGUUCCCAGAUCUACCUACAGAUGACCUGCAAACGGGGUAGAAUCAACGGGGUGGGGGAGGGGCACUUCAGUACGCUGUCUGCACUCUGGAUCAUGCCAUAAACUGUCAUGUUGUUGUUGUUGCUAUAUCAAACUAAACAUCAACAGACCGGUUGCCCUAAAAACGUGUCCAACAGCACGGCAGAAACUUACACAACUCUAGCAGUACCAGCAGCCUUCUUGGACAAAGCGCUACAUGCUCAAGCGCCACCCCGGCCAUGGUGGAAACGCUUAGUGAACUGUAGCUGAACUUUACUCCUCAGUGACACUAUUACUAUUACUGACGAUGACAAUAACAAUGACAAUGAUCUUUAUUGCAUAUUCUUGCCCAACAUGGGCUAAAUGCAUUGUGUUGUAUAGCUUAAGUAUGGGUAUAAAGUGAUUAAACUCUUUUGUCGACAUGAUGUAGCGGAACAUUUCGUCCUUGCCUAAACAUGCAAAGUUAUGGUCUAGGUGUAGUGUAUUGAGACCAAAAAUGCUAACUCAAUCUAUGCAAAUGUCAUAAGAGCACACGACGAACCAGCAGAUGUACAUGUCCCAAUUAAAAUUUGAUUAUGUAAGGCAUCUCCAAAGCUAUCUCACUCACUCGCUCACUCACAGCCCAUGACGAAGACAUGUCUGCAUUCCAAAUACCAUGACAAUCUUUCAACCCAGAUUAUUCCAAAAUGGAUGAUGCAACUACAUAGGCGCGGAAAAAUUCCUGUAGAAUUCCGGACAAGUUUGCCAAUCGGACGUAUCAUAUACUAUUAGGCUAGCCCAUGAGAUGUCUAUAAACAAAUACCCUCAAACCACCACACCCUCACCCAUUUCACGGAGGCUGAGUUCUACGAACACUUGUAUUCUCUUUUGUUUCAUAAAACCUUAGACUGCUACUCUCCACAUGCAAAAUAACAUGGCAAAAUAACAAUUACGUAAGCAACUGAAUGGAUUACAAACAAUCAGAAAUUUCACAUACCAUCUAUCUAGUUUUUCUGAACUUUUCUUAUUACAUGGUUGUCUUAUCACGUUUGAGAUUCAUGCAUUUAGCUUGAAUUUUUAUUUGUGUAGGUAGAAUAAUUCUUGGCUAGAUUUGAAGUGUUCAUCAAGGAGUGGACAAUCUGAAGCAUCUGGGGCGUUACUUUAUGCACUAGUAUAAAUAACUUUGUGGUCAUGAGCUGUAGGUCCAUUUGUUUAUACUGGUAAGGUACGACCUGUUUUCAAGAGCGCUUGUACAAAAAAUAUACAAUAUGUAAUUUCGUAUGUAUUUGUGUUUAGCAGUAUAACUGAAUAAGCUAGAUUGCCAUACAAUUAUGCAUAUGGUAAACAGUUGGCUUUUUUAAAGAUAUAUUUCGAGUUAUGUUUUCGUUAGACGUAGCUCUGCAAUUUGAUAUCCUACUCAAACUUUUUUAUUCUGUUGUAGUAGUAGAAAGAUAGUAUUCUUUGAAUACUUUACCAAAAGUCUGAGCCCUCAUAUAUUGAUCAAAUUAUGUGAGUUUUUUCAGCUUUGAGUAACAUCAAAUGACGAAUGUGUGUUGAUCUUGCAGUCUGGAAUAAAUUUAUCAUGAACAUGCAACUGACAAAAUGCAAUUUGCAAGGAACAAGACACAUGUAUUUUAUGGGUUAUUCGAAUAUCUCGCAGUAAAUUUCCUUCUAAUGUGUUAGAAAAAUAUUUUCGUCAUUGAAUUUACGUUGAGAGUUUCGACUUUUCUUUUCAGGUGAUUCUACCGUCUCAUCUUGCAAACGGCGAAAUAGGGCACAGUAUGAUAUCAGACAACAAACUCAGCCACCAUAUACCAGGUUUGACAUAGACCAUUUGGCUUAGGCAAAUCAAUGUAGGGUUCGAGAUUUUGGCUUUGAAACAGAAAUCUUUGUUUUCUUUAGAUGAAGUGAUCUAAUAGAUAAGGUUUUUGGCACAAAUAAGAUCAAAGUGCUACAUUUGUCUUAUUAUACUCAACAAUAAAAGAUAUACACACAUAUCAUAGACAUUUGCACUACCAAAAAUUAUUCUAAUAUUAUUGAACAUUAAACAUCGAAUUUCCAGCUCUUGAUGCUGCCGUCAGGUAAUUAAUCAAACGAUGAUUAUUCAUUCGAUUUGAUGUUGAUAAUGGAUUGUUUAUCUUUAAUAUAAACGGAGUAAUUUAUAUUUGGUCCAGAUGUCUGUGUUCUUUGAAUGAUGCUAAUAUUGUUAAAAAGUCAACAGACAAUUGUUGUAUUCUUAUACUAACACUUUAACUAAAAACAUAGACAUGUAAAACUGAAAUGCAUCCUGACCUGGUAUUUUCAACAUAGUAUUGUAGUUGUAACUAUACAUAAUACAAGCGUACGAGAUCCAUAAACAUAACAAAGAAGUACAUGUACAAUGUUUUCUACACAUUCCUAUCUGAAGUGUUCAAAAUCAUAAUCUGAUUGUCUGGAAACCGAUAAAGGUUUAUAGAAUUGUUCCUAUCCUUAGUGGGACACUAUAUACUUAAACAGGCUUAGUUAUUAUCUGACAAAAUACUUGUCCAGAUUGCUUGUGACGUCAUGACGUGAACACACAUAUAUUUGAUUUCACUUUCACUUUAUUUUUUUUUACCAGGAGUGAACUUUAGGUCGAGCUUAGACCUACUUUUCAGACAGUCCUGGGCUUAGAAUUUAAAAAAAAAUAAUAGCAAUACUGUAAUGACACAUUUCGA
Long non-coding RNA from Branchiostoma floridae (Florida lancelet), 3102 nucleotides. RefSeq lists it as uncharacterized. The record is from RefSeq and is a predicted model, not a curated record. Lineage: Eukaryota; Metazoa; Chordata; Leptocardii; Amphioxiformes; Branchiostomatidae. The transcript is spliced from 3 exons.